RNAcentral lists this ribosomal RNA (233 nucleotides) under uncultured bacterium. Its description in RNAcentral is "partial 16S ribosomal RNA". It matches the Rfam family "Bacterial small subunit ribosomal RNA", at positions 95 to 334 of the family's 1533-position model. The record is from RNAcentral.
CCGGCGCACGGGUGAGUAACACGUAUCCAACCUGCCGUCUACUCUUGACAGCUCUGAAGAAGAUAAUACAAGAUGGCAUCAUGAGUCCGCAUGUUCACACGAUUAAAGGUAUUCCGGUAGACGAUGGGGAUGCGUUCCAUUAGAUAGUAGGCGGGGUAACGGCCCACCUAGUCUUCGAUGGAUAGGGGUUCUGAGAGGAAGGUCCCCCACAUUGGAACUGAGACACGGUCCAA